Molecule: small RNA, 69 nt
Filed under: Flavobacterium aquatile LMG 4008 = ATCC 11947
Lineage: Bacteria; Pseudomonadati; Bacteroidota; Flavobacteriia; Flavobacteriales; Flavobacteriaceae
Description: Flavobacterium aquatile LMG 4008 Flavo-1 RNA
Rfam family: Flavo-1 RNA
Source: Rfam by way of RNAcentral
AUUUAGCCCUGAUUGAAAGGAAAAACCUUUGCUUUUUCGCAAAGUUUUGGGAUGAAAGCAGGAAAACGG